This 258-nucleotide unclassified non-coding RNA is filed under the name Hevea brasiliensis (rubber tree). Lineage: Eukaryota; Viridiplantae; Streptophyta; Magnoliopsida; Malpighiales; Euphorbiaceae. The record is from RNAcentral.
AAGAAAGAGAGCUUGCUCUCAUAGUCGGCAGGAGGAGCAUACAGCAGAUGCUUAAACCACGGUCUCCCUCUAAGACCUUCGGCUUCCAAGAAGCCUCUCUCUGUGAGUAUCAUACGAUCAUUAAAAGCUCUCUGUGUGAGUUCUCUAAAAUCUUCUGAAUUUUGUUGUUCUUGCAGCUUCUUAGCUUCUCCUUGAGCUACAUUGGCUGCAUCCAUGAGCUUAUGAAUGGAUGCAUUUACAGGCUGUAGCAACUCGUCG